CGACACCUUCUGUUUGUCCCAGGCCCUCUCCGCCAACUCAGACCUGGUACCAUCCCACCGCUGGAACAAGACCAAGUCCCUGUACAGGCUCCUCAAAGGGAUUCCCGAAGGCUCCUUUUCCAAUCCUCAGGCCGCGUCGCAAAUUGUUCCGUCGCUGGAGGGCAGGACCUACCUGGAUGUGACGGAGCUGAACUGCACAGCCGACCACAAUAACCUGACAUUCCCAGUGGUGAGUACAUCAUCACCUCCCACCACCCAGGCUGUCCCCAUCACGGUGGAAUACAACAUUGUGGAUGGGCUCACCCAUACCUUCAGCGAUGCCGUGAAUGUUUCCGUGCCGGGAGGAAGUGUCCUGAUCCGGGUUCUGGAGAAGGCCCGGGAUCUGCAUCCCGAUCGAUUCAGCUUUACUGUCACAAAGACACUGUGGGGACCAUCUCUGACCACCGUUCGGACCCUAACAGCUUCCAGUCAAAACAGAACCUACUGGCAGCUCCUGAGUGGAUCAGAACCACUGGAUCAAGGUAUCGGCGAUUACAAGCCCAAAGACGGCGAGCAUAUCUUUGCAAACUACAGCCGCUACUGAUCAGGACCUGGGUGGCAUUUGAGAAAUCGAGAACGAUGGAGCAAUCAGAAGGAAUCUGCCCCUUUCCCCCACGACGUCCUCCUGCGCUAUCCCAGAUUACCUCCAAAUUAUUCGGAAAUCACAGCUGCCCACCUUUCUCCUCACACAGAGCUCGUUCUGGGUUGAACUUCACCAUCUCUCACACAAACUGAAAAACACUGUUUUUCUCGACUCUCCUAUGAUUAACUCCGAACCCACACGGUUCUUCACUUGUGGCCUUGGUGUCCCCUUGUGUCUACCCUCUCGAUUCUUCAGCUCAUCCAAACCCCUGUUACCCUCUUUCUGAAUGUGCACCACUCCCCAUUCACCGAUCAACCUCUGCAGCCGGCACACCUUCACAGAAUUUCCGGUCCAAGAAAAUAUUCACUGCAAGGUUUCCCUCUCUGUCUGCAAGCCCCUCUGUGGUCUAUCCUUAUAACUCCCACCAACACCUACACCCCUCUUAUUCCUGUAACCUGCUCCAGCCCCUACACCACUCCCUAUCUCUGUAACCUCCUCCAGCCCCUACACUCCUCCUAUCCCUGUAACCUCCUCCAGCCCCUACACCCCUCCCUAUCUCUGUA
Molecule: long non-coding RNA, 1185 nt
Organism: Rhincodon typus (whale shark)
Lineage: Eukaryota; Metazoa; Chordata; Chondrichthyes; Orectolobiformes; Rhincodontidae
Exons: 4
Source: RefSeq, a predicted model, not a curated record